Molecule: ribosomal RNA, 494 nt
Filed under: uncultured bacterium
Lineage: Bacteria
Description: partial 16S ribosomal RNA
Rfam family: Bacterial small subunit ribosomal RNA
Source: RNAcentral
GACGAACGCUGGCGGCGUGCUUGACACAUGCAAGUCGAACGGAAAGGCCUGCUUUCCCUUGUGGAUUGCGGGUACUCGAGUGGCGAACGGGUGAGUAACACGUGAGUGAUCUGCCCCCAACUUGGGUAUAAGCCUGGGAAACUGGGUCUAAUUCCCGAUAGGACUGCAGGGUGGUGCCUGUGGUGGAAAACGAUUUUCUAGUGGUUGGGGAUGAGCUCGCGGCCCAUCAGCUUGUUGGUGGGGUAAUGGCCUACCAAGGCGGCGACGGGUAGCCGGCCUGAGAGGGUGGACGGCCACAUUGGGACUGAGAUACGGCCCAGACUCCUACGGGAGGCAGCAGUGGGGAAUAUUGCACAAUGGGCGGAAGCCUGAUGCAGCGACGCCGCGUGGGGGAUGACGGCCUUCGGGUUGUAAACUCCUUUCGACCGCGAGGAAGCCACCUGGUUGGAAGGGUGGUGACGGUAGUGGUAGAAGAAGCACCGGCUAACUACGUG